This 2197-nucleotide ribosomal RNA is filed under the name Triticum aestivum (bread wheat). RNAcentral's name for it is "partial small subunit ribosomal RNA". The record is from RNAcentral. Lineage: Eukaryota; Viridiplantae; Streptophyta; Magnoliopsida; Poales; Poaceae.
CGGGGCCCGUGAUAAUUAAACUCCUGCUUCUGGUCAUAAAUCUCGCACGCUUCCGUCGUCACGCCCGAGCCCGUCCUCGUCCUGUGCAGCUCACACGGCUCUCGGUGAAGCGUCUGUUUGAAGGAGGGGCCAAAGUGGUACAGCUUCCUGCACCGGCGGCUGUAGGGGCGGCGGCUCCGCGGCCGCUUUGCGCGCGGGGAGUUGUUCAUGCGGGAGCGGACGCGGUAAGAGCGGAGGUACUUGAGGUAGGAGGAGCCGAUACCAAGCACGUGGAGAGUGAUCGAAAGCAUAGGACACUAUGCGCGCAUACACGUCGAUGAUUGUAAGAACACAAACACGCACGCGCGCGCCGCGCUACCUCGUAUACAGAGCCACUACUCGCCGCGCGUCUAUAAGUACUUCUCCCUGGACUUCUAGUGCCUGCGCGUCUAGCUCCAGGAGCGGCCGUAGUAGUUGUAGAAGAGCGAGCAGCCGAGCGAGCGCCGCCCGGCGUGCAGGCUGACCUAGCCGGCCGCCAUGUGGUACCAGGAGCGCAGCCAGUAGAAGAAGCGCCCUCGGGAGUAGUACCCGGAGCGGGGCUCGAUGCGCCAGGAGUACGAGCCGGCGAAGCAGCGGCCGCAGCCGCAGCCGAUGCGCGAGUACUAACGCGGCCACAUGUGCCGGCUCCAGCGGGGGUGGAGGCGGGCGCCGGACGAGUGCAGGAAGGGACUCCACAAGUAGUUGUGGCCCCACGAGGAGCCCAUGUAGAGGUUGAUGCGGAAGGUGCCGGACGGGCACGUGGAGUCGACCGCGCGGUACAAGGAGCGCCCGCGGCACGGCGGCCAGAAGGAGCGGCAGCCGCAGGAGCGGUACGGUCUCAGCGGCGCCACCGAGCAGUACGUCCCCGCGUAGCCGCUGCGCGCGGCGCACGAGCUCUUCUGGAGGCUGAGGGGACUCCUCCGGCACCUCGCCGAACGGCUGUAGUUCUCGCGGCAGCCGUAGGGGCUUCCCUAGCGGCUGCUGUUAUUGCUGCUCAACGAGCGGUAGCAGGCGUUCUUGUUCCCGUGGGUGCCGCUCCCGCAGGACUCCCUGGACGACGAGGUGGGCUGCGGAGGGCACGCGGCGUAGGACUAGCGGACGGAGCCGGAGGUCAAGAAGGUCGUUCGGAGGCCGUAGCUGAGGCACCACGACAUGUCGGGUGCCCACAAGCUCUUCCGGCCGUAGUUCAGGCUGCGGUUGUGUGAGCCUCGGUGGUAGAGCCACCCGCGCUGGUUCUGCGAGAAGUAGGAGCACCGGUGCAAGGAGGAGCUGGCGCAGCCGGCCUCCGGCGACGAGGAGUGGUCGCGGCCGCCCUACCAACACAGCGAGCACUGCGACCGCAGCUGCGAGGUGCACUAGCGCGUCGCCCGGAGUGGCCGCCUGCCCCGCUGCCGCGACAGCCCCCACUCGUAGCGCAGCCACGACUACAAGCACCGCAGCAAGAGCUAGCCCUACCCCGGGUAGCGCACCCACAUGUCGAGCCUCUAGAAGGGCGACGCCGACGCUCGCGUCCCCACGCGCGAGCCGUGCCGCUACUUGGCCUAGUACUCGCCUCGGUAGUGGUACAGGAAGAUGAGUGAGAGGGUGUUCUAGUGCGAGCGGCCCUUGAAGAUGGAGAUGCGGUCGUAUCGACGGCGGCCCACCCACAAGUACAAGACGAAGGACGGCCUCUGCUCCCCGGCCCCGGACCUCCUGUGGCUCUUCGAGAAGCCACCACCGCUACCGCACCUCUUCCUUCUGCCGGUACCCGUACGGCUCAGGUGCCUCAACUGAUGAGUCAUCACUCAGUUGUGACAUACGCCAUGAUGACAAAUCGCCAGCAGGUUUUCGAAGUUAUUGAUAGACUUAUAAGUAUGAACACUCAAACCUAAGACGGCCAGUUUCUACCUACGCGGAUACAUGCCAGUUCCGAUUAGGGAGGCAGAGUACUAAAUUUUACAAAAAACGUGUGUUGUGUUUACAAUUUUUUGUAGAAUGUUAAAUUCUAUUCGGUUGUUGAUGUAUUCUCGGUUUAAACUAGAAGUCAUUGUACAACUUAUGAGCAUGAACACUAAGCUUAGGACUUACAGUCUAAAGAUCAUUACCUACCUACCUAAGACGGGCAGUCUAAAUAUUGUUAAUGAUAAUAGUUACAUGACAGUUUUUACGAGAAUAUACUACCCUACCUCCCUCAUGAUUC